This 253-nucleotide ribosomal RNA is filed under the name uncultured bacterium. Its description in RNAcentral is "partial 16S ribosomal RNA". It matches the Rfam family "Bacterial small subunit ribosomal RNA", at positions 524 to 776 of the family's 1533-position model. The record is from RNAcentral.
GACGUAGGGCGCGAGCGUUGUCCGGAUUUAUUGGGCGUAAAGAGCGUGUAGGCGGCCAGGUAGGUCCGUUGUGAAAACUAGAGGCUCAACCUCUAGACGUCGAUGGAAACCAUCUGGCUAGAGUCCGGAAGAGGAGAGUGGAAUUCCUGGUGUAGCGGUGAAAUGCGCAGAUAUCAGGAAGAACACCCGUGGCGAAGGCGGCUCUCUGGGACGGUACUGACGCUGAGACGCGAAAGCGUGGGGAGCGAACAGG